Molecule: ribosomal RNA, 482 nt
Filed under: uncultured bacterium
Lineage: Bacteria
Description: partial 16S ribosomal RNA
Rfam family: Bacterial small subunit ribosomal RNA
Source: RNAcentral
AUUGAACGCUGGCGGCAUGCCUUACACAUGCAAGUCGAACGGUAACAGGUCUUCGGAUGCUGACGAGUGGCGAACGGGUGAGUAAUACAUCGGAACGUGCCCAGACGUGGGGGAUAACGAGGCGAAAGCUUUGCUAAUACCGCAUACGAUCUAAGGAUGAAAGCAGGGGACCGCAAGGCCUUGUGCGUUUGGAGCGGCCGAUGGCAGAUUAGGUAGUUGGUGGGAUAAAAGCUUACCAAGCCGACGAUCUGUAGCUGGUCUGAGAGGACGACCAGCCACACUGGGACUGAGACACGGCCCAGACUCCUACGGGAGGCAGCAUUGGGGAAUUUUGGACAAUGGGCGAAAGCCUGAUCCAGCAAUGCCGCGUGCAGGAUGAAGGCCUUCGGGUUGUAAACUGCUUUUGUACGGAACGAAAAGGCUCUGGCUAAUACCUGGGGCACAUGACGGUACCGUAAGAAUAAGCACCGGCUAACUACGUG